ACGGGAUACGUCCCGGAAAGGAAUGUGGCGGCAACGCUGAACCUGAGG
Molecule: non-coding RNA, 48 nt
Filed under: unclassified sequences
Description: eL15-Euryarchaeota ribosomal protein leader
Rfam family: eL15-Euryarchaeota ribosomal protein leader
Source: RNAcentral